Molecule: ribosomal RNA, 494 nt
Filed under: uncultured bacterium
Lineage: Bacteria
Description: bacterial SSU rRNA
Rfam family: Bacterial small subunit ribosomal RNA
Source: RNAcentral
GAUCAUGGCUCAGGAUGAACGCUAGCGGCAGGCCUAACACAUGCAAGUCGAGGGGUAGAGGGUGCUUGCAUCCUUGAGACCGGCGCACGGGUGCGUAACGCGUAUGCAACCUGCCUUCCACAGGGGAAUAGCCCAGAGAAAUUUGGAUUAAUGCCCCCAUGGCACAUCGAGACGGCAUCGUCUUGGUGUUAAAGUAACAACGGUGGAAGAUGGGCAUGCGUCCCAUUAGCUAGUUGGUAAGGUAACGGCUUACCAAGGCUAUGAUGGGUAGGGGUCCUGAGAGGGAGAUCCCCCACACUGGUACUGAGACACGGACCAGACUCCUACGGGAGGCAGCAGUGAGGAAUAUUGGUCAAUGGACGAGAGUCUGAACCAGCCAAGUAGCGUGAAGGAUGACUGCCCUAUGGGUUGUAAACUUCUUUUAUACGGGAAUAAAGUGGGCUAUGUAUAGCUUUUUGUAUGUACCGUAUGAAUAAGGAUCGGCUAACUCCGUG